This 437-nucleotide ribosomal RNA is filed under the name uncultured bacterium. Its description in RNAcentral is "bacterial SSU rRNA". It matches the Rfam family "Bacterial small subunit ribosomal RNA", at positions 338 to 791 of the family's 1533-position model. The record is from RNAcentral.
CCUACGGGAGGCAGCAGUGGGGAAUAUUGCACAAUGGGGGAAACCCUGAUGCAGCAACGCCGCGUGAGUGAAGAAGUCAUUCGUGAUGUAAAGCUCUAUCAGCAGGGAAGAAAAUGACGGUACCUGAUUAAGAAGCCCCGGCUAACUACGUGCCAGCAGCCGCGGUAAUACGUAGGGGGCAAGCGUUAUCCGGAAUUACUGGGUGUAAAGGGAGCGUAGGCGGCAUGGUAAGCCAGAUGUGAAAGCCCGCGGCUUAACCGCGCGGAUUGCAUUUGGAACUAUCAAGCUAGAGUACAGGAGAGGAAAGCGGAAUUCCUAGUGUAGCGGUGAAAUGCGUAGAUAUUAGGAGGAACACCAGUGGCGAAGGCGGCUUACUGGACUGUAACUGACGUUGAGGCUCGAAAGCGUGGGGAGCAAACAGGAUUAGAUACCCUUGU